UGGCAGUGCAUGGGUGUGUGUUGAAUAAUGAAUAAAAGCCCAGGGAUUUGGAGUGUUGAAGUAAUUAGAGAUGGAUCUUUACCAAGGAAGAGCAGCCAGAGGAGAGCAGAGCAGACACAGGAACAGGGAACAGAACAAGCUGCACAGAAGAGGAGGAGAAAUAAGAGGAGAGGGGUUGGAUGAGCCAAUUGGAAGGUGAGAAUAAUUAGGUGAUGGUCAUGAUAGUAUGAGGGCCAGGUUGAGAAUUUAGCCUGGAAACCAAGGUUAACACCCAUACUGCUACAUGUUAUUUAUUUAGCCUGGACACCAGGGUUAACACCCAUACUACUACAUGUUGUUUAGCCUGGACACCAGGGUUAUCACCCAUACUACUACAUGUUGUUUAUUUAGCCAGGACACCAGGGUUAACACCCAUACUACUACAUGUUGUUUAUUUAGCCUGGACACCAGGGUUAACACCCAUACUACUACAUGUUGUUUAUUUAGCCAGGACACCAGGGUUAACACCAAUACGACUACAUGUUGUUUAUUUAGCCUGGACACCAGGGUUAUCACCCAUACUACUACAUGUUGUUUAUUUAGCCAGGACACCAGGGUUAACACCCAUACUACACAUGUUGUUUAGCCUGGACACCAGGGUUAUCACCCAUACUACUACAUGUUGUUUAUUUAGCCUGGACACCAGGGUUAUCACCCAUACUACUACAUGUUGUUUAUUUAGCCAGGACACCAGGGUUAUCACCCAUACUACUACAUGUUGUUUAUUUAGCCUGGACACCAGGGUUAUCACCCAUACUACUACAUGUUGUUUAUUUAGCCUGGACACCAGGGUUAUCACCCAUACUACUACAUGUUGUUUAUUUAGCCUGGACACCAGGGUUAACACCCAUACUACACAUGUUGUUUAGCCUGGACACCAGGGUUAUCACCCAUACUACUACAUGUUGUUUAUUUAGCCUGGAUACCAGGGUUAACACCCAUACUUACUGUGACUCGGUUUGACAUCUUAUUCUUAGGGCAACACCGUUUGAAGGGUGUAAGUCCAUGACUAUCCAGCCACCACCCUCUAACCUCCCCCACCGUUCCCUCCUUCUUUCCCUCCCUUUCUCUUCCCAUUGUCUCAAGGAGAAAGUGAGGCCUGCCUUGUUUCAGAAACAGUCAGACAAGUGUCAACGUCUCCUGUGGAUCACAUUGCAUGUGGAGCGCAGCCAUGUGGACAAAUUAAGCAUCCUGACUGGUUGCAUCACUGCCUGGUAUUGCAACUGCCCGGGCUCCGACCGCAAGGCACUACAAAGGGUAGUGUAUACGGCCCAGUACAUCACUGGGGCCAAGCUUCCUGCCAUCCACAACCUCUAUAUCAGGCGGUGUCAGAGGAAGGCCCUAAAAAUGGUCAAAGACUCCAGCCACCCUGUCAUAGACUGUUCUCUCUGCUACCACACGACAAGCGAUACCCGAGCGCCAAGUCGAGGUCCAGGGCUUCUUAGCAGCUUCUACCCCCACCCCUCUUUUAUACAGCUGCUACUCUCUGUUUAUUAUCUAUGCAUAGUCACUUUACCAACAUGUACAUAUUACUUCAAUUACCUCAACUAUACGGUGCCUCAGCACAUUGACUCUGUACCGGUACCCCCUGUAUAAAGCCUCGCUUGUUAUUUUACUGCUGCUGUUUAAAUAUUUCUUACUUUUAUUUUCUAUUUUUUACUUAUCUAUUUUUUACUUAAUGCUUAUUUUUAUUAACUUCUUAAAGCAUUGUCGGUUAAGGGCUUGUAAGUAAGUUGUAUUCGGCGC
Molecule: long non-coding RNA, 1785 nt
Filed under: Salmo salar (Atlantic salmon)
Lineage: Eukaryota; Metazoa; Chordata; Actinopteri; Salmoniformes; Salmonidae
Description: lncRNA (ENSSSAG00000090065.1)
Source: RNAcentral